RNAcentral lists this ribosomal RNA (446 nucleotides) under uncultured bacterium. RNAcentral's name for it is "partial 16S ribosomal RNA". It matches the Rfam family "Bacterial small subunit ribosomal RNA", at positions 338 to 795 of the family's 1533-position model. The record is from RNAcentral.
CCUACGGGUGGCAGCAGUCGAGAAUCAUUCACAAUGGGGGAAACCCUGAUGGUGCGACGCCGCGUGGGGGAAUGAAGGUCUUCGGAUUGUAAACCCCUGUCAUGUGGGAGCAAAUUAAAAAGAUAGUACCACACGAGGAAGAGACGGCUAACUCUGUUCCAGCAGCCGCGGUAAUACAGAGGUCUCAAGCGUUGUUCGGAAUCACUGGGCGUAAAGCGUGCGUAGGCUGUUUCGUAAGACGUGUGUGAAAGGCGCGGGCUCAACCCGCGGACGGCACAUGAUACUGCGAGACUAGAGUAAUGGAGGGGGAACCGGAAUGCUCGGUGUAGCAGUGAAAUGCGUAGAUAGCGAGAGGAACACUCGUGGCGAAGGCGGGUUCCUGGACAGUAACUGACGCUGAGGCACGAAGGCCAGGGGAGCGAAAGGGAUUAGAUACCCCAGUAGUC